RNAcentral lists this ribosomal RNA (228 nucleotides) under uncultured eukaryote. Its description in RNAcentral is "partial 18S ribosomal RNA". It matches the Rfam family "Eukaryotic small subunit ribosomal RNA", at positions 1208 to 1456 of the family's 1831-position model. The record is from RNAcentral.
GGAAAUCUCUCCAGGCCCGGACACUGGAAGGAUUGACAGAUUGAUAGCUCUUUCUUGAUUCUGUGGGUGGUGGUGCAUGGUCGUUCUUAGUUGGUUGAGUGAUUUGUCUGGUUAAUUCCGUUAACGAACGAGACCUUAACCUGCUAAAUAGUGACGCGGUUCAUCGAACCGUGGGCCACUUCUUAGAGGGACUAUCGGAUUCAAACCGAUGGAAGUGUGAGGCAAUAA